Molecule: long non-coding RNA, 232 nt
Filed under: Elaeis guineensis (African oil palm)
Lineage: Eukaryota; Viridiplantae; Streptophyta; Magnoliopsida; Arecales; Arecaceae
Description: long non-coding RNA (EGUI_LNC043533)
Source: RNAcentral
UCUCCAUCCUCUCCUGUUAGAGACCAGCAGUAUCCUAGUAUCACCUUGAAUCUGAUACCAACUGUUGAAGGACCGUCUUUACUUGUGUGGACCUGAGGAAAAUCCGCGAUGGAUCAUUCUCAAGGACAGUAACCAUCAGGCCAUAAAUCCGGGCUUGAUCCUUAAUACCGCAUGCCCCCCUUCUAGGGAAGGAGGCAUGUGUGAUGCCCUAAGGGCUGCAUGCAAACCUGUG